GGAUUAGAUACCCUGGUAGUCCACGCCCUAAACGAUGUGCACUAGAUUGUGGCUUCUCUGACGUUGUCACGGUCGAAGCAAAAGUGUUAAGUGCACCGCCUGGGGAGUACGGUCGCAAGAUUAAAACUCAAAGGAAUUGACGGGGGCUCACACAAGCGGUGGAGCAUGUUGCUUAAUUCGAAACAACGCGAAGAACCUUAUCCAGGGUUUGACAUGUAUGGAUUAGCUGUCUGAAAAGAGAGUGACGCGGUUUCCGUGGAACAUACACAGGUGCUGCAUGGCUGUCGUCAGCUCGUGCCG
Molecule: ribosomal RNA, 300 nt
Filed under: uncultured bacterium
Lineage: Bacteria
Description: bacterial SSU rRNA
Rfam family: Bacterial small subunit ribosomal RNA
Source: RNAcentral